AUUGGUCUGGACGCAUCAGAGGGUCGGGAACCCGAGUGCCUAGCUGACAGAUGUGCCCGGGGCGGAGAGGGAGGGUCUGCCUGGUCUCUGCGCUCCCAGUCCAAGGCUGCCACAGCAUUUACCAUUUAACCCACUGAUUUGAAAUAAAAUUCUUCCUUUUAGUCGCUAGUCAUCCGCCUGGGGUUUUUCUCCCCUUUCCUGUUAGGACACAGGGGCAUUUCCAGCCUCUGCUUUCAAAGGGAGCAUCCAGGAACAGUAAGGAGAAGCAGGGAGGGUGAAGACGCUCAUGCCCCCUCCCCGGGGGCUGGACGCUUGUUCCUCCGUCACCACUCCCUAGAAGAGGGAGUGCCCGGGUGGGCGGAGCCAGCAGCCUUCCUGCCUGGGCGGGGCCAAAUGGUCCACAGAUGUCUGGGUGUGCCUACUUCUGAGAGGCAGCGGCUUCCCAGCUGGGAUCUUCUCCUAGGAGCCCAUCUAUGGCUUUUCAGUAGGGUGACUUCAGGAGAGAGGAAAGAACCCACUGUCCCUGCAUAGAUGGAGAAGUUGGCAAUCAUCUGAUUCCUGCUGAGUUGCCUUAGCUCCGCUCACUUUAUAUCCUCACAUCGAUAGCUGGUCACCAGACGUGUAAAUACAUGUAUACAGAUGAGGAAUCUGCAACAAAAAGUCGUCUGUAUGAUAAUCAGCUCUCAGCUUCUGGGUUUCUGCAUUUUAUGCAGUUUCCAGCUAUGAAAAAAUGCAGGAUUCCACUACACAAAGUGAAACAGUUGUGCUCUUUAAAUGGUUUGUCAUGAAACCUCUGCUGUAUGUUUUUGGGAAUGUCCGUGACUAACUGUAUAUAUGGUAUGUAAGAGACGAUGCUGUUAAUGUUGCAUAAACUAACACAGAUUCUGUAGUCAAAAAUAUUUAACUUGUUAUUGUAAAAUGUGAUUUGUCAUUGAGAGAUUAUUUUUCUGUAUGUAUAUGAGAGUAUUUUAGGAAUCUAAUUUAAGUGCAUAAAACUAUAGAAAAAAAUUUAAAAACCUAUUCCUGGAGUAGAAAAUGCUUAAUCAGAUUACUUGGGUUCAACCCAACUAAAUUUCUCACAUUAAAAAGAAAAUCCAAGUGCAUAUGUUAGAAAUUCAAAGAAAUCAUUUUGGGGGCAGGGAAUAUGACGAAUUUGAAUGAAAUGGUGGUAGUGUGAUAAUAUAAAAGUAUCCUCUAGCCAUGACCUCAGGUGAGACCUUGGUGUUUCAUUAAAAACUGGUUUAAACAAGCAACAUAUCCUGGAGGGUGGUUGUGUCAGGAAAGAUGAGAGGAUUGACAGCCUGUUUCUCAUCUGGUCCAGGUGCCACAGAAGCUUCCAUGGGUUCUGGUGGGUUGGGCUGGAAUCCAGGGUUGACCCAGCCAUCCCUCUAGAGAGUUCUGAAUGUGGGAGGGAGGCCACCCUCUGACUUCCAGGUCAGCUUUAUCGUUCUUUUUCUGGAUAGAUUCAGCAUAUCCCUUUGGUGUUUUCAUUUUCAAUGAAAUUUCCUGGGGCAGCUUCACCAUCUUCACCUGUUGCACAGGUAUGUGGGUUGAAGGAUGAAGUUUGGGGGUUUCGGGUUAAGCUGUUUCUGGGCACACAAAACAGGCAAAACAGAGCAGCCUCCUGAAUGCCCGUGUCCCAGAUGGAGACCCCAGGGGCAAGAGUCCUUUCUCCUGCUCCCCUUCCCAGAAAAGGAUCAGAAAUCCAGGCUUCUUCUGGGGCCCAGAUUUUGCCACCAGAAGUGUUCCUGCAGGCCACCUAAGGAUGGAAUGCAAAAUUCCAUGAAACUCAACGUCUAAACCCCUGAGAGAUGCAAUCGGAAGUCAUUUCAGGAGGUGGCAACCCCAGGGGUCCGGCCUCCCGGAACAGGCCAGAAAUGGUGCAGAGAGGAAAAGAGUGAGAUGGGGUCCCUGCAUGUGGAUCACCGUUUGUGGACAGUUGAGGGCUGAUGGCUAGAAAGGCAUGUGGGGAGUGAGAGCAUUAGGUUUUCAACAUUUUUUUUCCAACAAGCUUUGUGCUUCUUGACGCUGCCAGCAACAGUUGAAGUCCCUUUUUUGAUGGGCCUGAACUUGGCAAACACUAGAGUCAGAGUGACUUCCUGGACUUCAGGGGUGCGGGGAGCUUUCCAGAAGCUUCUGUGAAUCUGUUGUCAUACCAGUAAUCUGCACAUCACCUUGAGGAACUGUCCGUGUGGCCUGUAACUGACUUUAUUCCCAAAGAUGGAGCCGUUUAGCAAUCUCCUUGUUCGAGCAUAGCCUGGGAAGACGAUCUCACAUCAGCCAGCAGAACCAGACGAGCGAUGGUCCGCCCACCCAGACCAGGUCCUGACCCUUCUUUCUCAGCACCACGCCCUCCUGGCUGGGGGAGCAACGGGGCUGUGAGUGGGAAUAAGUCAGUCAGUCAACUGUCCCCUGGGCCCCCAUUGUUCCAGAAACGUUUGGGGACAAGAGAAGCCAGAAGAACAUGGGUCUCCUGCCCGGCAGCAUCUGCUGCCCACUCCAGUUAGCCGUUGCCUGUUUGGAAAGAAUGUAUCAAUCCUCACAUGAGUCCCUUGUGUUUGCAGUGACAAAUGGGUCACAGUGCUGGUGGCAUAUUGCUCCUGUCACAGCCCUGCCCAGGGGUGGGACGAAGCCACCUCCCCAGUGGAUGUCCUGUUGACUGUAAUAUACUUCUGUUGCCAAAUAAUGGUACUGUUUAAUUUUCCGUAAAAGGGAGACUAUAUUGUCUGAUAUGUGAUGUCAAUGGAGCUCUAAAAAUUACUAAACACUAUUAUAAAUUGUAGAAUUAUGUCUUUGUCUAAGGUUUGAUGAAGCGGGGCCAAAACAUUAGGCUUAUUUUUCUGUUUGAAAGAAGCUGAGAUCAGUUUUGCCGUUCGAGUGUUCCUUUGGCACCUUAUUAUGUAGGAAAUGUUCAAUUUUACCGAUUCAGAUGACGGUAACUGAGUUUUGUUUUUGUUUUUGUUUUCGUUUUUCUUUAAACCAGUAGUGGCAUCAGUACAGAUUGUUACUCCUGUGUAUCUUGAACCUGAACAGAACAAUCUCUUCAAAACCACUCUUUGGUCAUUUCGACCUGUACGGUUUAAAGUCACAUCGUUCAUGAAUAAAAUGAGAAAAGCCGUCCCUGUGACAGUGGAUUAUUUUGGGUUCUCUCUGCCCCACCUCCUCUCUGCGCAGACAGGAAACCCGUAGUCCUGUGAACGGCAUCCCCGUCUGUGUGUUUCCUUCUCCCACAGAUAAGGCAGUAGCUGUGGAAGGAAAAUUAUGCAAAAACAAACUUAAAAAAUCAACCAAACCAACAACCCUAUCAGCUCUCCCGUGCCUUCUUCAGACAGAUGUCAGCACCGAGCGGAAGUCGAUCUCCCUGUGCCAGGCACCAUUUCUGAAAAUGUGAGAAGGUCUGUGUGGUGUAGGGUAAGGAAUGCCAGGCGUGGUGAGGGGCGAGCAGAAAGCUGAGAUUGUCUUACAAAGGACAUUCAGAAGGAUCAUUCUGGCUUUCCUCAAGGAAGUUUCCAACACAGACAACUCUGCGUAUUUAGAACUUUGACUUUUACCUCUGGGCACCAUUAGUAAACCCAACACUGAAUUUUGUUGUUACCUGAAUUUGGGUGUAUAACUUAGAGCAUUUUCCUCUGUUCUGGUUUUAAGGUAGUUCCCCUCUUAUUUCAUCGCUGAUUUAUCUUAAUAUGAACAAGUCUUUUAAAUGGUCUAGUUGGCUUGGAUACUAGUUAAAUUGUUACAGCACAUUUUAAAAAAUUUGACACUAACGCAGUGUAUCUUUGCCUUCUUUUAAACUGGUAGGCCCCAUUUUUGAUAAACAUAGAAAUCUUAUGCCCUUUUCCUCAUUGUUAUUUGAAGUUUUAAAAAUAAAUUAAAUGUCAUUAAAAUCAAAGAAAUAAUAAGUUACCUUCCCAAAUUACACCUCGUUUUCUCCGAGAUUGACAAGAUUCCCCGCGGCACAGCUCGGCGGGUGGAAGCAGUCACUGGUAUAAAACACGGUGAAUAGAGACCUCCAAUACGAAGGCAAUAAAAUCACCUGACGGGGAUGUUCUUCCACACAAAAUAAAUGUUAACGUUUUGAUGCGCAUCACGCCUGUAGUUUUUCUGCGUGUGCACACGUGUGUUUUAGAUGCUUUUGCACUAUUCAAUAGCUAAUAUGCAUUGAGCCCUUCCCAUGUGCAAGGCACAGUUCAUUUACAUAAUUUAUAUAAUUCAUCUCACAUUUUGUUUUCUUUCUUUCAAAUCAGC
This 4245-nucleotide long non-coding RNA is filed under the name Equus caballus (horse). Its description in RNAcentral is "lncRNA (ENSECAG00000059184.1)". Lineage: Eukaryota; Metazoa; Chordata; Mammalia; Perissodactyla; Equidae. The record is from RNAcentral.